GAUUGCUAAAAAUUUGAGUACAAGGGUUGGAAAUUAAAUGCAAAAGCUUGGAAAAUUAAAAGACGGAUAAAAAUAAAGACAGAUAGAUUGUUAAAGUCUGUUGUUGUUGUCGAAUUGAUUAAGGUCUUCCCGUGGCACAACAGAAAAUAUUUAUAACAGCAUCUGGUUGCCUUCGUAAGAAUUUGGAAUCGACACUUCUCACACUGCACAUUCUGCAACUGGUGUCCAUUUUCCUAUCAACUGCUUAGUAACCUUCUCUAUAGCAAGUAACCUCCAUCAUGUUUCAGUAACUCCUUAUAAUUUUGCAUUACUUAAUAACCUUUUGUAACCUCCAAUUAAGUACUAACUUCCAAUAAAUACCUACCAA
This 367-nucleotide unclassified non-coding RNA is filed under the name Hevea brasiliensis (rubber tree). The record is from RNAcentral. Lineage: Eukaryota; Viridiplantae; Streptophyta; Magnoliopsida; Malpighiales; Euphorbiaceae.